AAUAUAGAUUAUACCAGAUGUACAUAAACAACGACCACUCGGCGUUUGUUCAGUAUCGUAAAGAUAGCACAGAGAACAAACUAUUGUUCUGACCAACUAACAGUGUAACAGUUGAUAAGGAAUAAAACACUAGGAGUUAUGCCGCCCCCACCACCACACCACGGGCCUCCCCAUUGGGGUCCUCCCCACCACGGGCCUCCACAUCACGGUCCACCCCACCAUGGUCCACCCCAUCAUGGUCCACCGCACCAUGGUCCACCUCACCAUGGUCCACCGCACAUCCUUUGGCCUCCACAUCACGGGCCUCCGCACCACGGGCCUCCGCACCAUGGACCUCACCACCAUGGACCUCACCACCAUGGGCCACCACAUCACGGCCCACCACACCACCGCUAACUGCAAAUUGAAUGGACUAGUAUUGAUAAUGAACAAGAGUUUACAAAGAAGAUCUGACUGAAAUGUGUUUAAAAUUGGUGAUUAUAUAAAUAAUUUAGUUGCUUGUAAUAUCAAGUGUACAAAGUAAAAUUUAACUCAUUAUUACAUGCUUAUUUCAUUUUACGACGAUUCCUGUCCUGCCUAUGACGCACUUAUUUAAAGUGAAUCAUUCACAAAAAUUUAAUUCCACGGUAGAGCGGAUUAAAAGUAAAUUGUAAAAUAUUUGUAUAGAAUUUUUAUUUAUUAUUCCGGUUGAAUGUAUAAAUUAUAAUCCUGUUAUUUAACAUUUCUAUUUUAUGGUUCCUUGUUUAGUUUGUCAAAUAAGAUUAGCCCAAGGCUAUCUGGUCUGGUUUAAAUGCUUUAUUCUUUUGAAUUAUUUCCCUUAGAAACCAACUAAGUUAAGUUUUGGAUCAACUAUAAUAAUAAUAAUCUAAUCUAGAGUACUGAAUUUUGAAGUUUUCAUCUUUAUUAGGUCCUUAUAGAAAUUGAUAAGCGCCUAUACCUGAAAACAAACUUUGCAAUUAAUCACAUACACAUACUUCGUCCGUAUAUCGAUCAAUCUUAUCAGUUUCGUAAAAAAGGUUGAUAAUACUGAAAUCUGGCAUUCUGUAACUUGUGAAUGUAGUACUAAGGUUUCAUUUUCGGUAAUGUCGUUAUCUCAGAGAAGGGGAAUAAUUAUAGAUUAUAGCAAAGGUUGAUAAACAAGGUCCACUCGAUAAUUGUUUAGUGUCUGAAAGAUUGUACAGAGAACUGGUUUUGGUAUUCACUAUUUACCAACAAAAAGUGUAGAAGUUGAAAAGAAAUAUAAACAAGGAGUUAUGCCGCCCCCACACGUGCAGCCACCUUGCGGGCCAUACUGCCAAGGUCAUCACGGGCCACCCCACCAUUGUCCACCUCACCAUGGCCCACCACACCAUGGUCCACCACACCAUGGGCCACCACACCAUGAGCCUCCCCAUCAUUACCCACCCCCUCCACCACACCACCAUCAUCCUCCACCUCCACCACACCACCAUCCCCACCCACCCCCACCGCAUCAUCCACCAGGUUAUGUAGAACACCCUCCCCUGCCGAACCCUGGCUUCCACCCUGUCAAGCCUUACUAGUCAACUGCAAAUGGAAUGGACAACAACGAAGCACAAAUGGCAAUAACAGAAAACAAGUUCACUUAUAGGCUGGAAGAAUCGAACCUAGUGUGCUUAAAAAUUGUAAUGUAAUUACAUUUAAUAUUUAAAACAAGACUAUAUUACAUUAAAUACCUUAAAAUAAAAAAAAGACCUAUAUAUUGUGUUUCUAAUAUCAAACAAUACAGUUCUUUCUCUUUAUCCUAAGAUUUUUCCUUUUAUAAGUGCUUAGACUAAUAUGUAGUAAAUAAAUAUCCGGUGAUAAAGA
This is a long non-coding RNA of Ostrinia nubilalis (European corn borer), 1827 nucleotides long. RefSeq lists it as uncharacterized. The transcript is spliced from 3 exons. The record is from RefSeq and is a predicted model, not a curated record. Lineage: Eukaryota; Metazoa; Arthropoda; Insecta; Lepidoptera; Crambidae.